Syngnathus typhle (broad-nosed pipefish) is the source of this 2795-nucleotide long non-coding RNA. RefSeq lists it as uncharacterized. The record is from RefSeq and is a predicted model, not a curated record. The transcript is spliced from 2 exons. NCBI's taxonomy places the organism in Eukaryota, Metazoa, Chordata, Actinopteri, Syngnathiformes, Syngnathidae.
UUGCGGUGAUGCAAAAAACAUAUUUAACAAUAUGACGCAUUUUCAAAUGAGUAGGCGUAUAAUUGGUCAUGACAAAGCUUCGCGUCGUUACGUCGGGCACAAGCUAUACGUUCUGAGCGCGUAAUGAAAUCGCGAGCAGUAUUUCCAUGGUAACCUCAGUGCAGACACUCAUUUCCGAUAGUUCUAUGAAGGCAACGUUUGCAGUUCGUCCCCACUCACAUCGUAUUCCAUCUGCAUAAAAAGUGCGGUGCGAUCUAAACCAAAAUGUCAUCCGACCAGUUCCCGGGUUGGCUCAGCGAUGUGCCCACUUGGCGGCCAUGAUGGGAGGCGCGGCGUUCCCAUCAAAUGCAAUAACUCAAUCGACCACUGACUGAGCUUGACGGAUCCGUCCAUCCCGAGCAGGAUGUUGUCACUCUUGAUGUCUCUGUGGAUGACUUGGUUGGAGUGGAGGAACUCCAACGCUUGCAGACACUAGGGGGCGACAAAGGCCGUCACAAUUCUACAAGUACUCCCUGCAUUUUUAUUUAUUUUUUACCUCUCUGCACACGGCUGCUAUCUGAGCUUCAUCCAUGCAAGUCUCUGUGACCACAUCAGUCAAAGAGCCGCCGGCCAGGUACUCCAUCACUACCCACAGCUCGUCACCAACCAGGUAACUAUGGCGACAGAUAACAGAUGACAUGAAGCACGUGUUUAGUUCGGCAAUGCCAAAAGGUCAUCUGACCUGUCCAGGUAGUUGACGAUAUUGGGGUUCUUGUUUUCCCUCAUGACCAGGAUCUCAUUGAUGAUGAGUUCUUUCUUAGGCUGCUGUUGCAGAUUCAUCUGCUUGAUGGCCACCUGAUGCACAAAAACAUCACGUGUCAAUCAUUUGUAAAGAAGGUAAAACAAAAUUAGCAAACAAAUUCACCAGAUAAACCAAAUAAUUAACCAACCUCUUGUCCAGUGGCGAUGUCGAUGGCCGUAUAAACCGUGCCGGAUGCGCUGGCGCCACAAAACAACAAUUAAAUGUCACUUUUGCUACUUUCCAAACAUCAACAAAAUCUAUUUCUACUCACCCUUGUCCAAUCUUCUCAAAGCGAGUGUAUUUCUUUUUCGGGUCUCCGACACUCACAAUGGUCCCUGUGUGAUACACACACGGAAAUACUGAAGUGAUAAAUUCUCUAUUGAGGUUGAAUUAAGACGAUAGAACACUGAUAUCAUGUGUCUAUCAUCUUUGUUCAUUUGUGAGACUCAGCUGCAUGCUGACUGACGUGAAGAGAAGAACAGAAAGAGAGGUCACAAACAAUAUGGAGGGAUAAGAAAAUGCCCCCCACAGUAAUAAAACAGAAAGGGAUUAAAUAAAAUUCAAAAUCAUAUUGGAAUAGAAAUUAAAAUGUAAAUAUUAGCUAAAUAGAUCAGAAAUUCAAGUCAAAAUUAGGCGUCAAAGUGAAAACAACUGGAAAUAAAGUCAAAUGUAUCCAAGAAUUGGAAAAGACUAGAAAUAAAAUAGUAAAUAAAAUAUGAAAAGCAAUAGAAUAGAAACAAAAGUAAAAUAUUAAAAAAAAAAAAAAAUAGAAAUAGUAGAAGUAGGAAAGCUUUGUUCUGCGAGGUAACCACACUGGGAAAGUUUUGGACAAACCCCCGGAAGAACAGCCAAUCAGAUGAGAGGAUUGGACAAAAGGGGCGGGGACAGUGAGCGGGGCCCAGUCAAUUAGACUGACAGACAGUAUCCUCAUCUUACCAGCAGAGGGCGGCCUGAGAACAUCUUCACAGGCGUGUGCAGUUUAGGGAAAUACAGUACAUGUAUCAACGUAAUUUCUAUUCUUUUCUACAUUUUAAAACCCAAACAUUCCAAUGUAAAUUGACCGUUUUUGAUGACCCUUGAAACUUACUGAGCUUCUCCAAGAUCUCUUCAUCCGACAUCUUCUUCUUGCGUCCUUUGUCCUGAGGGCGGGGCAAGGAGGGCCCCGGCGCAGGGGCGGCCCCCGGCGGGCUACUGGGAGCCGGGGCGCCUUCCGUGGCAGAGCAACCGGGCGGGGUGACGGCUGUGGAGGACGUCGCGGAGGAGGUUGGCACCACGAUGGGGGAGGUGGCGGCGUCUUUGGUGGGAGGAGGCGGAAGGGGCUCGAUGACGGAGCGGGUGUAAAUCUGACAACAUUCAAUUCAAGAUUACUUUUUCAUAUUUUGGAUUGCACAAUUGUGUGUGUUUGUUUAAACAAUAUGAGCAACAGUCCAAUGAUGGGGAAAUAAUCCGCCACAAUUUAAAUCAGCAUUGAACGUUUGUGUGUGUGGGGGUGCGUGUUCCAAUCAGGACUAAUAAAGUCAUCACCAUGGAGACAGACGCUUUAGGGCACCAUAGCAGCAGCCUGUCAACCGCCAACAUGUCUGAGAGCAACUAUGUGCGUGCGUGCAUUUGUACAUUAGCGCGCCCUCUUACCGAUUUGGUGUGUUCCGGCCGUGGGGCGAUGACGGGCGGCGGUUCGGCUUCGUCCUCGUCUUCAUCCUCCGACACGGUGGCGAUGGCGGGCAUCUCCGAGACGCUCUUGGAGAUCUGGGACAAACGAGGACAGGAAAUCAUCCGUGACGUCACUUCCUGUUUGGCCGAAUGCUUUCUUCAUCAUGUUACUUUUCAGUAUUUUCUCAAAACUAAUGUGACAGGAUACUAGGACAGUAGGAAACAAGGAUGCAAGGAGACAAGGAUGCUAGAAUGGUUGCUGGGCUCGUUUCCAAGCUGCAUAGGCAAGAAAGCUCAAAUGUGCUGAUUCACGUUGCAGAGAAAAGCAGCAAAGUAAAUAAAUCUGAAAAAGUCUUGCUCAUCA